GAUGAACGCUGGCGGCGUGCCUAAUACAUGCAAGUCGAGCGAACAGACGAGGAGCUUGCUCCUUCGACGUUAGCGGCGGACGGGUGAGUAACACGUAGGUAACCUACCUAUAAGACUGGGAUAACUUCGGGAAACCGGAGCUAAUACCGGAUAAUAUUUCGAACCGCAUGGUUCAAUAGUGAAAGAUGGCUUUGCUAUCACUUAUAGAUGGACCUGCGCCGUAUUAGCUAGUUGGUAAGGUAACGGCUUACCAAGGCAACGAUACGUAGCCGACCUGAGAGGGUGAUCGGCCACACUGGAACUGAGACACGGUCCAGACUCCUACGGGAGGCAGCAGUAGGGAAUCUUCCGCAAUGGGCGAAAGCCUGACGGAGCAACGCCGCGUGAGUGAUGAAGGUCUUCGGAUCGUAAAACUCUGUUAUUAGGGAAGAACAAACGUGUAAGUAACUAUGCACGUCUUGACGGUACCUAAUCAGAAAGCCACGGCUAACUACGUG
RNAcentral lists this ribosomal RNA (497 nucleotides) under uncultured bacterium. RNAcentral describes it as "partial 16S ribosomal RNA". It matches the Rfam family "Bacterial small subunit ribosomal RNA", at positions 28 to 507 of the family's 1533-position model. The record is from RNAcentral.